Molecule: long non-coding RNA, 702 nt
Filed under: Aedes aegypti (yellow fever mosquito)
Lineage: Eukaryota; Metazoa; Arthropoda; Insecta; Diptera; Culicidae
Description: lncRNA AAEL027225
Source: RNAcentral
ACGAAAUGUAAGCCGACCAGAUCAUCGGCGUACCCGGGGGGAGUGUUGAGUACGCACCUCUCUAUCCAGCAUCUCUAAUCUACACACAUCAACAAACGUAGGUAUUGCAUGCAACCUUCUCCCCUGAGGCCCUUGGUCAAACGUCAUGACCAAUAUGCUAUUGUGGUGGACAGAUAAGAUACAAUUGAUACAGCGUAUAAUAUCAACAGCGCUCAUGUGCUCUUUUGAGUUUCUAAAACUACAUCUAAAAUAGUGUUACAUGCAAUAAGAAUCUAGAAAAUUGUGCAAUAAUAGUGUGAACUAAAUGGUGUUCACUUAACAUCUAGUGCAUUUUUCUAACCUAAGAUCUACAUAAAUCUAAAACCUACAUGCAAAGUACGGUGAGGAUCUAGUACGGUAAAUUUGAUAUUGCUAAGGUGAUUAGUAGGAAAAGGAGAUCGCAACAAUCGCAAGACCGGAUUGAUCAUCCGCAAACACUGCACAACGGGACUAAACGUAAGUCAAUACGGACAUAUUAUACUAAAGUUCACAAUCUAUUAUUUUAACUAAAUCUAAAUGUAAAAUGGCACACAAUAUGUAAACUAACACAUAUGUACAUGAAAUAAUUUCAGGAAUUUAAUAAUAGCCACAUUUAAACGUAAAUCCUACGUCUCCGGUCGUUUAUGCUAUUAUUAGUUUGGAAAUAAACCCUGUGCGUUUCUU